Molecule: RNA transcript, 1264 nt
Organism: Ciona intestinalis (vase tunicate)
Lineage: Eukaryota; Metazoa; Chordata; Ascidiacea; Phlebobranchia; Cionidae
Gene name: ciliary microtubule associated protein 1A pseudogene
Source: RefSeq, a predicted model, not a curated record
CUCUUGAAGAUUGUGGGAAAGAUUUUCUGUUUUAAUUAGUUCGUUACAGUGUUUUAAUUUAAUGUUCUGGGUGCAUUUCACAGUUUAAAUCACAAAAUGCGGACGUCGAUACAGAAUGGUUGAACUAUUCCAUGUCAAGUGCGGGAAUUACGAAAAACGAAUGUGAAAAUAAACCAGUUUUGCGGGUUUGCAACAAACGACCUCAUUUUUUUCAAUUAAAUGCUAUUUUAUCUGUAAUGUUAUUCACGUGGCUUACUUUCAUGACGUAUCGUUUAUAUGGCAACACAAACUCAGCUGAUUUUUUACAAACAAUACGUUUAUGACGUAAUAAUGUAUACACAAUUCUUGUUUGGUUUUUCCAUAUCAGCUGAAAUUCCAAAUCCGGAUCGGAGGAAAUAGUUUGCUAGGCUUCUUUUAAAAAAAUCGGCAGGAUGGCCAACGCUGAGGUCAACAACAAACAGUCGACGGUGAUUGCUGCGAAGCUCCGUGGCCCUGGAUCUGGUCGGUACAAGCUACCUUCCACGUGCGGAUUCAAGGGUCAUGAUUUCACUCAGCAUAUGAAGCCUGCCUAUUCUUUUGGAAAGAGGCUCGGGAAUUCUUUUAUCAGCAGUAAUAAGUGUAGCCCUGGGCCUGUAUAUUAUAUCGAACCACGCUACACCAGACACGGUAAAGAUGGAACGCCACAUUACUCGAUUCUUGGUCGGCCGCUAAACCCAAACACCUUCAAGACCCCGGGACCCGGAAAAUACCAGAACGAAAAGGUGCACCCACAAGGAGAAAUACACGCGCCGAAAUAUUCAAUGGGAUCACGCACUCGCUACCGUCAAUGCGACUCCUACCCCUCACCUAACAACUACGGCCUACCAAGUUUACUCGGAAGCAAAGUCAUCAAUAAAGUGUCCAGCGCAAGUUACUCUAUGACGGGACGGUCUCUUACUGGUAGUUUUGACGAAGACCUCGCCAAGACCCCUGGCUCGGCUCGAUACAGCAUCGUAGAUCCGAACAUUUAUAGAAAGCGUGCGCCCUGCUACUCUAUGCUGGCAAGGCGAUACAUGCCAGGCGACAAAACAACGAAACCGGGCCCUGGUGCCCACCAUCCGGAGAUGGUGGUCAUUAAUCGACCCAGAGCACCACAAUAUUCAACCGGAAUCCGACACUCAGAGUACAUAACGCCUUUUGUUAACGAAAGCACCGAUUUCUAAUUCGUUUGUGCCAGCUGUUUGUCGCAAAUUAAUAAAUAAAAUAGCUGCCUGUCUGAUCUAAA